GACGAACGUUGGCGGCGUGCUUAAUACAUGCAAGUCAACUGAAGCAGUGGUAGCAAUAUCGCUGUGGAGGUGGCGCACGGGUGAGUAACACGUAGGUAAUCUGCCUUCAGCUCUGGCAUAACUCCGGCAAACCGGGGCUAAUAGCAGAUGAUGCAGCGUCUCGUCAUCGAGACAGUUGUUAAAGCUAUGGCGCCUGUACAUCAGCCUGCGUCUGAUUAGCUAGUUUGCGGGGUAACUGCCCACCAAGGCAACGAUCAGUAGCUGGUCUGAGAGGAUGAUCAGACACACAAGAACUGAGAGACGGCCAAGAGUGCUACGAGAAGGAGCAGUAAGGAAUAUUGCUAAAUGAGAGAAAACCUGAAGCAGCAAAGCGGCGUGAGGGACGGAGGGGUUUUGCUUGUAAACCUGGGUAGUAAGAGAAAAAAAUCACAAUCGUUGGGACAUGAUGGUAUCUCAAAAGUAAGCCCCGGCUAACUACGUG
This 481-nucleotide ribosomal RNA is filed under the name uncultured bacterium. Its description in RNAcentral is "partial 16S ribosomal RNA". It matches the Rfam family "Bacterial small subunit ribosomal RNA", at positions 28 to 507 of the family's 1533-position model. The record is from RNAcentral.